ACUCAGAGCUUUUCGAACUGUGCUCCCAUGGGGACCACUGGGCCCCUCAGGGGAUGCUGCUAGGGGAAGGACUGGCCGUGGCUCCAGAAUGUGCUGCCUUUUUAAGUUUUGUUUGUUCACACUCCUAUAUAUGAUUGUUUGCACAGAGGGCACUCCUGUUUUUAAAACAUUUUGAAAACCCCUGGCUGAACAGUGCUCUGCCUCUAACUCCCUCCUCACACUCCAGAAUUACCCUUCCUCAUCUGUGCCUGUCUGUCCAACCCCUCCCCCACGUCUCUCUGCCUGCUGGGCUCUUAACUGUUGCUCGAAGACUGUGACAUCAGAAGUAACUCCCACUCCUAAUCAAGAGUCUCUCCAGCCUCACAGAUGCUGGCCUCUUGGCACCUGCCUAGCUCUUGGGCCUGACCUCCAGUCCUGCUGGCCUGCUCUUACUUCCCCCACCCUGGGUUUGGCCCCUGGAACCUUUCCCUUGGGACUGGGCCAUGGGUCCUCGGCCCAUCUGUCCAUCCUCCUCUCCAUGCAAGUGCUGUUUGGGCAGGAGUCACCAUGCAAGGGUGACAUCGACAACCACGUACCAAGCCACCGCAGCUGCUGCCACUCUGCCGCCUGUACAGAAGAAACUGAAUCUUUUUCAUAUUCUAAUAAAUCAAUGUGAGUUUU
RNAcentral lists this small RNA (660 nucleotides) under Pan troglodytes (chimpanzee). Its description in RNAcentral is "processed transcript". The record is from RNAcentral. Lineage: Eukaryota; Metazoa; Chordata; Mammalia; Primates; Hominidae.